This is a long non-coding RNA of Lynx canadensis (Canada lynx), 601 nucleotides long. RefSeq lists it as uncharacterized. The record is from RefSeq and is a predicted model, not a curated record. Lineage: Eukaryota; Metazoa; Chordata; Mammalia; Carnivora; Felidae. The transcript has 2 exons.
AUGUUCUGGAAGGAAUCAGGGAAGCCCAGGCAUGCCCGUCACACACCCGCCGCAGACAAGAGGGCUGGGAAGGUGGGGGCAGAGGCGGAGGCAGGGACCCCCGGCCCGCGGUCGGAACGCUCCGCCCCAGCGUCCCCAGCGUCGGCUCCUGUGCCCUGACUGUCAAAGACGAAAGGAGGGACCAGCCUUCUGUGCUCCCGUUCGUAGGACCAAGAGCCCGGGUCUGGGCUUGAACGGUCAUACGGGAAGGUAUGCAGGUCACGAGCACACGGCUCGAUGAUAUGCUCCCAAACCAAACACCGCCCUGUAACCGGAACCCUGAUCCAGAAACAGAACGGAACCAGUGCCCCAGAAUGCCACCCUCACACCCUCUUCCAGUCGGCACCCCCAAAAGGUAGCCAGUCUCCUGGCUUCUACCAGCAUAGAUUUGCUUUACCUGUCUUGAAAUUGUAUGUGAAAAGAGGCGCACAGUAUGUAACCGUUUGUGUCUUUGUCUCAGUUGGACAUCAUGUUUGUGAGAUUUAGCUGUAUUUUUACCUACAGCACACUGAUUUUCAUUGCUGUUCUGCACUCCACCGUGUGAAUACAGUGCAGUUUGUUU